Molecule: ribosomal RNA, 497 nt
Filed under: uncultured bacterium
Lineage: Bacteria
Description: partial 16S ribosomal RNA
Rfam family: Bacterial small subunit ribosomal RNA
Source: RNAcentral
GAUGAACGCUGGCGGCGUGCCUAAUACAUGCCAGUCGAGCGAACAGAUGAGGAGCUUGCUCCUCUGACGUUAGCGGCGGACGGGUGAGUAACACGUGGCUAACCUACCUAUAAGACUGGGAUAACUUCGGGAAACCGGAGCUAAUACCGGAUAAUAUAUUGAACCGCAUGGUUCAAUAGUGAAAGACGGUUUUGCUGUCACUUAUAGAUGGAUCCGCGCCGCAUUAGCUAGUUGGUAAGGUAACGGCUUACCAAGGCAACGAUGCGUAGCCGACCUGAGAGGGUGAUCGGCCACACUGGAACUGAGACACGGUCCAGACUCCUACGGGAGGCAGCAGUAGGGAAUCUUCCGCAAUGGGCGAAAGCCUGACGGAGCAACGCCGCGUGAGUGAUGAAGGUCUUCGGAUCGUAAAACUCUGUUAUUAGGGAAGAACAAAUGUGUAAGUAACUAUGCACGUCUUGACGGUACCUAAUCAGAAAGCCACGGCUAACUACGUG